Molecule: long non-coding RNA, 268 nt
Organism: Mya arenaria
Lineage: Eukaryota; Metazoa; Mollusca; Bivalvia; Myida; Myidae
Exons: 3
Source: RefSeq, a predicted model, not a curated record
CGUGACAGUGAAACCAGAGCUGGGAACCGCAGUCACCUCCGCUGACAUGCCUGUAAAACGGGAACCAAUAGGAGUAAAAGUUGAAGAAUACUGGAUCGUGGGCAAGUCUGGCCAACAUGAACACUCCAACAAGCAAGAAGCCGAUGUCAGCUAACAGCUUUGAGCUCUUCAAGAAGCAGGCACAAGAGAGAGUGGAGAGGGAGAAGGCUAUGAAGCAACAGGAGGAGUAUCCCAAGGUUAUGAAGGAGAAGGAGGAGAGGGAGAGGAU